CCUACGGGAGGCAGCAGUGGGGAAUAUUGGACAAUGGGCGCAAGCCUGAUCCAGCCAUACCGCGUGGGUGAAGAAGGCCUUCGGGUUGUAAAGCCCUUUUGUUGGGAAAGAAAUCCAGCCGGCUAAUACCUGGUUGGGAUGACGGUACCCAAAGAAUAGGCACCGGCUAACUUCGUGCCAGCAGCCGCGGUAAU
Molecule: ribosomal RNA, 194 nt
Filed under: uncultured bacterium
Lineage: Bacteria
Description: partial 16S ribosomal RNA
Rfam family: Bacterial small subunit ribosomal RNA
Source: RNAcentral